This 254-nucleotide ribosomal RNA is filed under the name uncultured bacterium. Its description in RNAcentral is "partial 16S ribosomal RNA". It matches the Rfam family "Bacterial small subunit ribosomal RNA", at positions 524 to 776 of the family's 1533-position model. The record is from RNAcentral.
UACGGGGGGGGCAAGCGUUGUUCGGAAUUACUGGGCGUAAAGGGCGCGUAGGCGGCCCGCUAAGUCAGACGUGAAAUCCCUCGGCUUAACCGGGGAACUGCGUCUGAUACUGGAUGGCUUGAGUUUGGGAGAGGGAUGCGGAAUUCCAGGUGUAGCGGUGAAAUGCGUAGAUAUCUGGAGGAACACCGGUGGCGAAGGCGGCAUCCUGGACCAACACUGACGCUGAGUGAGCGAAAGCCAGGGGAGCAAACGGG